Molecule: long non-coding RNA, 355 nt
Filed under: Gallus gallus (chicken)
Lineage: Eukaryota; Metazoa; Chordata; Aves; Galliformes; Phasianidae
Description: lncRNA (ENSGALG00010025241.1)
Source: RNAcentral
GGGUUUUUUCUCCCCUAGCUUUGGGAUUUGCCUCCUAGUCAGCAGUAGACUGUUUUGUCCUGCUCUGCUAUACCUGCACAUGACUUAAACCUUUUCCCUUGUUUUCACAGCUUCUGGCCCUGGCUGGGUGAAUCCUCACAGCAGUCGCUUGCAGCUGAGUACAGUGCAGGACAUGGAGGCUGUGCCCUGGAGGACAGAAUGGAGGACUCCUGGCCUCCCUGAUCCCACCGCAGCAGAUACAAGGUAAGGCUAAAUCCCCACAGCACCUUUCCAAAAAGGUGUCCACACUACAUAUACUGCCAGGAUCCAUCUCCUGCAUGGUGACCACCGCUCUGCUUCCACCCACACCUCCAGG